CCUACGGGUGGCUGCAGUGGGGAAUAUUGGACAAUGGGCGAAAGCCUGAUCCAGCCAUGCCGCGUGUGUGAAGAAGGCCUUCGGGUUGUAAAGCACUUUCAGUGGGGAAGAAAGCCUUGGGGCUAAUACCCUCGAGGAAGGACAUCACCCACAGAAGAAGCACCGGCUAACUCCGUGCCAGCAGCCGCGGUAAUACGGAGGGUGCGAGCGUUAAUCGGAAUUACUGGGCGUAAAGCGCGCGUAGGCGGUCUGAUAAGCCGGUUGUGAAAGCCCCGGGCUCAACCUGGGAACGGCAUCCGGAACUGUCAGGCUAGAGUGCAGGAGAGGAAGGUAGAAUUCCCGGUGUAGAGGUGAAAUGCGUAGAGAUCGGGAGGAAUACCAGUGGCGAAGGCGGCCUUCUGGACUGACACUGACGCUGAGGUGCGAAAGCGUGGGUAGCAAACAGGAUUAGAUACCCCAGUAGUC
This 465-nucleotide ribosomal RNA is filed under the name Vreelandella stevensii. Its description in RNAcentral is "partial 16S ribosomal RNA". It matches the Rfam family "Bacterial small subunit ribosomal RNA", at positions 338 to 795 of the family's 1533-position model. The record is from RNAcentral. Lineage: Bacteria; Pseudomonadati; Pseudomonadota; Gammaproteobacteria; Oceanospirillales; Halomonadaceae.